Oncorhynchus keta (chum salmon) is the source of this 2598-nucleotide long non-coding RNA. RefSeq lists it as uncharacterized. The transcript has 3 exons. Lineage: Eukaryota; Metazoa; Chordata; Actinopteri; Salmoniformes; Salmonidae. The record is from RefSeq and is a predicted model, not a curated record.
UUUUAAACACCCAUGUAAAAUGAAGGCCUGCAAAGCUUACAGAUGUAAGUCUAAUAGCAUGAGAUGACAGUAGACAAAAAUCAGAGGGUGCAAUGUGUAGGCCUACUGAGUGGACAUUCUGAACCUUGUUUGCAGUCACCAGGACACAUGAGCAAGGAGCUAUUGAAAUUCUACAUUUUGAAAAGUGAAAAUGGACAAACUAAAGGGUGUGCAACAUAGAACAGUAGUCAGUGGACAUUCGGAACCUUGUUUGAAGAGCAGUAACAGUGUAGGUCUCUUGGCCCCGCCCCUCUCAGUCCUCAACACCCCGGAACCUGUCCGUCCCUCCCGGAUCCUCCCAUUGGACAGCAGCCUGCUGUUUGAGUUCCUGCUCUUCCUCUACCUUGCUGGUGGCACUGUUCAUUCAGCACCACCCAUCAGGAUGACAUAGAGCUAAGUCUCCAGUUGAGCGGGGGUUGCACCCAGAGUACGGAUCGGUGGGGCAGAAUGGGACCCUCUAACCUAACCCUAACCCUACCACUACCAUCCAACCAGCUGUGUCUGAUCAGCACCUGGAGUGUGGCCAACCAAUGACUUCCCCACCAUUUACCUGUGGACCCAGAGAAACUUCCCAGUCUGGCCCGGAACACAGAGUUGUUGUUCCAGCACCCUGCCACCAGGUGGGGCAGGCAUGUUAAGAAUCCAGGGUGGCGAGGAGGGAAGAGGGACUCCAUGAUACAAUUGGCAACCAAGGAGGUCACUUGACCUAGAUUGGGGUGAGAGUGGAGGAUGAGCUUCGAGAGGAGAAGAGAGGGAAGGGGAAAAGGAGAGCUGAAGGAGAAGUGUCGUACCCAGUGUAUAUUCCUGGAUGAUAUCAGUUUGGGACAGAGGCACAGAGCUUAGACAGUGUUUUACUCGUGCUUUUAAAAAAAAAUGUACCUCCGCUUUUCCUUCAUCUCUGUAUUUCUGUACAAGUUAUUUUUUUCCAUUGUCAUUAUCCUUCCCCUUUGACAACUUACACAUCAAAUAACAUUUUAUUGGUGACAUACACAGAUUUAGCAGAUGUUAUUUGUAGGUGUAGCAAAAUACUUGUGUAUUUUGCUCCAACAGUAUCUAACAAUACACAAACAUCUAAAGUACAAGAAUGGAGUUAAGAAAUAUAUAAAUAUUAGGACAAACAAUGUCAGUGGCAUUGACUAAAAUACAGUAGAAUAGAAAACAGUAUUUACAUAUGAGAUGAGUAAAGCAUAGACUAAAAUACAGUAGAAUAGAAUACAGUAUAUACAUAUGAGAUGAGUAAAGCAUAGACUAAAAUACAGUAGAAUAGAAAACAGUAUUUACAUAUGAGAUGAGUAAAGCAUAGACUAAAAUACAGUAGAAUAGAAUACAGUAUAUACAUAUGAGAUGAGUAAAGCAUAGACUAAAAUACAGUAGAAUAGAAUACAGUAUUUACAUAUGAGAUGAGUAAAGCAUAGACUAAAAUACAGUAGAAUAGAAUACAGUAUAUACAUAUGAGAUGAGUAAAGCAGUAUGUAAACAUUAUUAAGGUGACUAGUUAGUAAAUACAGUAGAAUAGAAUACAGUACAUAUGAGAUGAGUAAAGCAGUAUGUUAACAUUAUUAAAGUGACUAGUUAGUAAGUACAGUAGAAUAGAAUACAGUAUAUACAUAUGAGAUGAGUACAGCAGUAUGUAAACAUUAUUAAGGUGACUAGUUAGUAAAUACAGUAGAAUAGAAUACAGUACAUACAUAUGAGAUGAGUAAAGCAGUAUGUAAACAUUAUUAAAGUGACUAGUUAGUAAAUACAGUAGAAUAUAAUACAGUAUAUACAUAUGAGAUGAGUAAAGCAGUAUGUUAACAUUAUUAAAGUGACUAGUUAGUAAAUACAGUAGAAUAUAAUACAGUAUAUACAUAUGAGAUGAGUAAAGCAGUAUGUUAACAUUAUUAAAGUGUCUAGUGUUCCAUUAUUAAAGUGACUAGUGUUCCAUUAUUAAAGUGACUAGUGUUCCAUUAUUAAAGUGACUAGUUAGUAAAUACAGUAGAAUAUAAUACAGUAUAUACAUAUGAGAUGAGGAAAGCAGUAUGUAAACAUCAUUAAAGUGACUAGUGUUCCAUUAUUAAAGUGAUCAAUUAUUCUAUGUCUAUGUAUAUAAAAUAGAAUGUUACAUGCGCCGAAUACAACAACCUUACCGUGAAAUGCUUACUUACAAGCCCUUAACCAACAAUGCGGUUUUAAGAAAAUACAAAAAAAGUAAGAGAUAAGAAUAACAAAUAAUUAAAGAGCAGCAGUUAAUAACAAUAGCAAAAUAACAAUGUGGAGGCUAUAUACAGGGUAUUAUGGUACAGAGUCAAUGUGGAGGCUAUAUACAGGGUAUUACGGUACAGAGUCAAUGUGGAGGCUAUAUACAGGGUAUUACGGUACAGAGUCAAUGUGGAGGCUAUAUACAGGGUGUUACGGUACAGAGUCAAUGUGGAGGCUAUAUACAGGGUGUUACGGUACAGAGUCAAUGUGGAGGCUAUAUACAGGGGGUACUGGUACAGAGUCAAUGUGGAGGCUAUAUACAGGGGGUACCGGUACAGAGUCAAUGUGGAGGCUAUAUACAGGGGGUACCGGUACAGA